GACGAACGCUGGCGGCGUGCUUAACACAUGCAAGUCGAGCGAUGAAGUUCCUUCGGGAAUGGAUUAGCGGCGGACGGGUGAGUAACACGUGGGUAACCUGCCUCAUAGAGGGGAAUAGCCUUCCGAAAGGAAGAUUAAUACCGCAUAAGAUUGUAGUACCGCAUGGUAUAGCAAUUAAAGGGGGAAUUCGCUAUGGGAUGGACCCGCGUCGCAUUAGCUAGUGGGUGAGGUAACGGCUCACCAAGGCGACGAUGCGUAGCCGACCUGAGAGGGUGAUCGGCCACAUUGGGGCUGAGACACGGCCCAGACUCCUACGGGAGACAGCAGUGGGGAAUAUUGCACAAUGGGGGAAACCCUGAUGCAGCAACGCCGCGUGAGUGAUGACGGUCUUCGGAUUGUAAAGCUCUGUCUUCAGGGACGAUAAUGACGGUACCUGAGGAGGAAGCCACGGCUAACUACGUGCCAGCCGCCGCAGUAA
Molecule: ribosomal RNA, 478 nt
Filed under: uncultured bacterium
Lineage: Bacteria
Description: partial 16S ribosomal RNA
Rfam family: Bacterial small subunit ribosomal RNA
Source: RNAcentral